AAGACUAUACUUUCAGGGAUCAUUUCUAUAGUAUGUUACUAGAGAAGCUUCUCUGACUGUAGAGAGCACCAGAAACCACCACGAGGAGGAGGCGUAGUGUUCCUUCCAGAGCAUUAAGCAGGCUCUCGUCGCUGCUUGAGUGUAGCUGCCACUUACCAUUGAUGAUCGUUCUGGCUAACUCCUUGGAGAUAGCAAGAGGGGAGGGACACAGUUUGAGUGGU
Small nucleolar RNA from Cavia porcellus (domestic guinea pig), 221 nucleotides. RefSeq annotates it as small nucleolar RNA U3. NCBI's taxonomy places the organism in Eukaryota, Metazoa, Chordata, Mammalia, Rodentia, Caviidae. The record is from RefSeq and is a predicted model, not a curated record. The transcript has a single exon.